RNAcentral lists this ribosomal RNA (523 nucleotides) under uncultured bacterium. RNAcentral's name for it is "partial 16S ribosomal RNA". It matches the Rfam family "Bacterial small subunit ribosomal RNA", at positions 28 to 523 of the family's 1533-position model. The record is from RNAcentral.
GACGAACGCUGGCGGCGUGCCCAAUACAUGCAAGUCGAACGCUUUUUCUUUCACCGGAGCUUGCUCCACCGAAAGAAAAAGAGUGGCGAACGGGUGAGUAACACGUGGGUAACCUGCCCAUCAGAAGGGGAUAACACUUGGAAACAGGUGCUAAUACCGUAUAACACUAUUUUCCGCAUGGAAGAAAGUUGAAAGGCGCUUUUGCGUCACUGAUGGAUGGACCCGCGGUGCAUUAGCUAGUUGGUGAGGUAACGGCUCACCAAGGCAACGAUGCAGAGCCGACCUGAGAGGGUGAUCGGCCACACUGGGACUGAGACAGGGCCCAGAUUCCUACGGGAGGCAGCAGUAGGGAAUCUUCGGCAGUGGGCGAAAGUCUGACCGAGCAACGCCGCGUGAGUGAAGAAGGUUUUUGGAUCGUAAAACUCUGUUGUUAGAGAAGAACAAGGAUGAGAGUAAAAUGUUCAUCCCUUGACGGUAUCUAACCAGAAAGCCACGGCUAACUACGUGCCAGCCGCCGCGGUAA